GUGAGGAAUAUUGCGCAAUGGAGGCAACUCUGACGCAGCCAUGCCGCGUGCAGGAAGAAGGCGCUACGCGUUGUAAACUGCUUUUAACCGGGAAGAAACCCCAGGACGUGUCCUGGGUUGACGGUACCGGAGGAAUAAGCACCGGCUAACUUCGUGCCAGCAGCCGCGGUAAUACGAAGGGUGCAAGCGUUAUCCGGAUUCAUUGGGUUUAAAGGGUGCGUAGGCGGAGCGUUAAGUCAGUGGUGAAAGCCUGCAGCUUAACUGUAGACUUGCCAUUGAUACUGGCGCUCUUGAGUGCGCUUGAAGUGGGCGGAAUGUGCCGUGUAGCGGUGAAAUGCUUAGAUAUGGCACAGAACACCAAUUGCGAAGGCAGCUCACUAAGGCGAUACUGACGCUGAGGCACGAAAGCGUGGGGAUCGAACAGGAUUAGAAACCCUUGUAGUCC
RNAcentral lists this ribosomal RNA (445 nucleotides) under uncultured bacterium. RNAcentral describes it as "bacterial SSU rRNA". It matches the Rfam family "Bacterial small subunit ribosomal RNA", at positions 354 to 796 of the family's 1533-position model. The record is from RNAcentral.